Non-coding RNA from Gossypium arboreum, 123 nucleotides. Lineage: Eukaryota; Viridiplantae; Streptophyta; Magnoliopsida; Malvales; Malvaceae. The record is from Rfam.
AAUAGGAGAAUGACAAAUUGGAUUUUUCCUUCUAAUUUUCAGUCUUUUUCUCAUGAAAAAAUUCAAAUCCAACUAAAAAUGCUAAAAAUCAAGAGGAAAAAGUUGAUUUGUCACUUUCUUAUU